AGAAUGUGGACCUAAAAAUAGAAGUGUAACUCUUCUUAGUGACCAA
RNAcentral lists this transfer RNA (46 nucleotides) under Carlia amax. RNAcentral's name for it is "partial tRNA-His". The record is from RNAcentral. Lineage: Eukaryota; Metazoa; Chordata; Lepidosauria; Squamata; Scincidae.